GGUCAAGUUACAAAGGGCUCACGGCGGAUACCUUGGCACACAGAGGCGAUGAAGGACGUGGUUACCUGCGAUAAGUCUCGGGGAGCUGGAAACACGCUUUGAUCCGGGAAUUUCCGAAUGGGGCAACCCUUAAUACGGCCAGCUGAAUCCAUAGGCUGGCACGAGCCGA
RNAcentral lists this ribosomal RNA (169 nucleotides) under uncultured cyanobacterium. RNAcentral describes it as "partial 23S ribosomal RNA". It matches the Rfam family "Bacterial large subunit ribosomal RNA", at positions 1 to 183 of the family's 2925-position model. The record is from RNAcentral. Lineage: Bacteria; Bacillati; Cyanobacteriota.